AUUGAACGCUGGCGGCAUGCCUUACACAUGCAAGUCGAACGGCAGCACGGGUGCUUGCACCUGGUGGCGAGUAGCGAACGGGUGAGUAAUACAUCGGAACGUACCUUAUCGUGGGGGAUAACGCAGCGAAAGCUGUGCUAAUACCGCAUACGCCCUGAGGGGGAAAGCGGGGGAUCGCAAGACCUCGCGCGAUUAGAGCGGCCGAUGCCUGAUUAGCUUGUUGGUGGGGUAAACGCCCACCAAGGCGACGAUCAGUAGCUGGUCUGAGAGGACGAGCAGCCACACUGGGACUGGGACACGGCCCAGACUCCUGCGGGAGGCAGCGGUGGGGAAUUUCGGACAAGGGGGGCAACCCGGAUCCAGCAAUGCCGCUUGAGUGAAGAAGGCCUUCGAGUUGUAAAGCUCUUUUGUCAGGGAAGAAACACCGGCUCUAACACAGUCCGGGAAUGACGGUACCUGAAGAAUAAGCACCGGCUAACUACGUGCCAGCCGCCGCGGUAA
RNAcentral lists this ribosomal RNA (501 nucleotides) under uncultured bacterium. Its description in RNAcentral is "partial 16S ribosomal RNA". It matches the Rfam family "Bacterial small subunit ribosomal RNA", at positions 29 to 523 of the family's 1533-position model. The record is from RNAcentral.